UUUUGAAACAAAGAACUUUCUGGUUUUCUUAUUAAUUCGAGGGUGAAUUGAAAGGUACAACUGAGAAGAGCUUAUAUAGGCUCUUUAGAAUUUGAAAUACAAUAAGAAGCAAUAACUAAGAAGAAAAAAAUCAAGAGAUAUGAGUCAAAGAGCUUGAUUGUAGGCGAUUUGAUGAAGAGCUCGAUUUUAGGAGUUGAAUGGCGUGUUCUUUGGAUGGCUGAUGGGCAGAGAGAUUCUCUGGCUUCUCUGGACGGCUGAGAUGAUCUGGGGUUGAGGAAUGGUCGUGAUUAAUCUUCAGAAAGUCGUGGUCUUUAAGAGAAAAGAGAUUAACAUUUCCGAAAAAGGAAAGUUAUCUUUUAAGUUUGAAUUCUUCUCCUUUGGUCAGAAACGUGUCUUGGUUCAUCUUGGGGGUGUAUGGGAAGUCUGGUGGGUCUCCUAACACGUGCUUGGUCUUUUUCUUUGGCGAGAAUGAGCUUGUUUCCUUAUUUAGUGCAAUAUUGGACCGUUUAAGGACAUGGCGGUCAAAUGGUGGAUCCGGGUCGAUCCAGCUCCGUUUCUCUUGGUUUUGGAUGCUCCAUUGGGUCUCCUGAUGGGUAAGAAUAUCUUCUGGGCCUGGACGUGCAUUAAUUAUGCUGAGAACACCUUUCUUGGGCCACAUCUUCUUAUCGGCUUUGCAUUUGAAUGGCUCGGGUAAUGGUUUAGCCGGGAAGCUUGUAUGAUCUAUUGGAUAGGAGUCUAGAGAGAACAAGUCAAUAACAGUCGUCUCCCCUUCGUUAUUGGCUUGCUCUACAAGGGAGUUCGUCUCUCCUUUACCUUUGGCUAGACUCACAUGUCCAUUGAUCUCAUGUGGUUCUUCUGGUUCAGCUUCGGUUAGGCCAAAUGCAAUGUCUCUGCGUCUUGAGCUUGCCAGGGGUCCGUCUUGUGGGGUUGAUGUCCUUAUCAUACCUCCCUCUUUAAGAUGUUUCGUCCUCGAAACUGGUUUUCCUGCACAACGAUAGAGUAAGUUAGUUUGAGCUUGACCAUGUGAGUUUAGAGUCUUACCUUUGGGUGAUCUUUGAGAUUGGCUAGGAGUUGAUGGGUAAGAUUCAUCUGUUGGCGCCUCCUUGAUCAGUAUAGAGUAGAUAACUUCAUUGGGGUGUGGUUGGACAGGUUGUUUUGUUGGUACAUCUCCUUGAAAGCCUACAUCUCCUCUUGUUGUCGUGUGCACUAAGUUUGAAGUGGUGUGUUUCAAGCUUGCUUUAUAACCUGUGAAAGACACUUUUGGCAUAGAGAAGUGCAUCAUAUCUGUGUAAUCAGGUGGUAAAUGUUCUUUUUCAGCAAAGAAACUUACCUUAGUGGCUGCAUUAGCCUUUUCUCUUACUUGCAUAACAUGCACCUCGGCUUGAUCUAAAGGUGUUAGUGUGAACUUGCAGUUGUUGAGGCUGAAUGAGUACUGGUUUGUGCGACCAUCAUGGGAGGUAUUGCGGUCAUAUUGCCAUGGUCUCCCAAGUAAGAUAUGCCCGGCGUGCAUUGGUGCGACAUCACAAGUAAUCUGAUCUUGGUAUUGGCCGAUGGAGAAAGGAAUCUCCACUUGUUUGGUCACCUUUAGCUCAUCAUUGUCAUUGAGCCACUUGAGCUUGUAUGGUCUAGGAUGUUUUGAUGUUUGUAAUCUUAAUUUCUCAACCAAAACAGAGCUAGCAAUGUUAGUACAAGAGCCACUAUCUAUGAUUAAGUGACAUACCUUGUCUUGAAUGGUGCAUCGAGAAUGAAAUAAAUUCUCUCUCUGAGCUGGUUCCUCACGGUAUGGCUGAGCUGAGAGUGCUCUUUGAACUACUAGUAGAUCUCCUUCAUCAGGUAAAAUGGUGAUGUCUUUGUUCGGAUCAUCUAGAUCUUCUUCAUCUUGUGAAUCAUAUCCAUUUGGUGUGAUGAUCAUGAUGCGCCUGUUUGGACAGUCUCUAGCCAUGUGUCCCCUGCCUUAACAUUUAAAACAGGUCAGUUCAUGAGUCCUUUGAUGACCAGAAGAAGACUUACCUUGCUCAAACCGAUUGUCUUUUGGUUUGUCAUAGGUUUUGUCUUUGAACUUUGACUCGAUGACAACUGAUUUCCCUUUGUCGAUGACUUGUGGUGGCUGUUGUUGAGUUGUCUGAGUGCUGCUACGGUUCCUCUCUGUGUUAGACACCUUUUUGUUGAUCUGGUUCUCUAUUUGGACAGCUAAGUGUAGCAACUCCUCGAGAUCAUGGUAAGGCCGCCUCUCUACUUUCGUUGCAAUGCGAUCUUGCAAGCCAUCUAUGAAUUGGGCCAUCAAUGAUUCUUCAGUAUCAGUCAACUCCAGCUUGUUCUUAAGGGCCUCAAACUCUUCAUAAUAGUCUUCCACAGAUCUCUGGCCUUGGAAGAAAGAUCUGCAUCAUUUCUGAAUCUCUCGGUGAUAGUGUGGUGGCACAUAUCUCUUGCGGAGAUAAAACUUCAUGUCUCUCCAAUAGGUGAUUUGGCUAAGUUGUGUCUUCUUCUCUCAGCUACUUCUCUAUCCCACCACGUCAAAGCAUGGUCAGUGAGACUAGCUGCUGCCAGUGCUAGCUUCUUUGGCUCAUUAUAACCGUAGUAAUCGAAGAUGUGCUCCAUUCUUCUUUCCCACUCCAAGUAUGCAUCAGGGUCCACUUUUCCAGCAAAGGUAGGUGGUGUGAGCUUAAUGUCAUUGGCGGUUCUGUUGGUAUCUUCAUCUCUGAUCCUGUUGCGGUGGAUGGGGUCAUGUCUUUGUUGUUGUUGUAGUAAUGGAUCGGGUGGCACAUUAUCUGGUACAUGUUCCCUUCGGUCUUGAUUGUUUUGAACUCCAUUUGCUGCGGUUUGGGGAUCUCCAUUGUUGGGUGGUGCAGCUGUUUGUGGAUAGAGAUUUCUGAUGGCACCAAGGUGUGGCUUUUGCUCAAUACGAUCCAUACGACCUCCUAGAGAUUUCUGAUGGCACCAAGUAGUCUCCAUUGUGGUCAUACCAGUUUUCACUGUUCUGAUGUCAUCUUUCAUUGCAUUCAUGUCUUCUCUCAUGGCUUGGAGAAGCUGCAUCAUAGCGUCUUGCUGGUUAUUUUCAGUCAUGUUUCACCUGCCAAAUAUUUCAAUGAAAACUAGAUCAAAGUUUUAAUCAAAGCAAAGCAAAAUAAAAAUCGUAAAUUUUUGUUUUUUUUAUUUUUUACUAGAUGAUAAACAAAUAAAACUGAAAUUAGACAAUAUAAAUAUUUAUGGAUUUUCAGGGUUUAUGAGAAGCAAAAUAACAGGAACAGAAUAAUUUUUUUUUUUAUGAAUGAACAAGAAGCAAAAAAAACAAUGGUAAUAAAAUUUUCUUUGGUUUUCUUUCUUUUUUUUUGUAAAAAUCGAAACUAGAACAGAAUCAAAAGCAAAACAAAAUCAAAAGAAAAAGGAUAGAAAUCACCUAAUAGGAAAUUUGAGCUCUGAUACCAAAAUGAUAUAAGACUGAAUCACACAAUCUUUAUGGACACCAAGUAUUCAAACUCUAAAAGCUUUGAUGGAGGGAUGGAAGAAGGUUGUGAUGACAAUACACUUGUUUUAUGGACUAAAACAAAUGUAUCAACAGAAACUAACUCUAAGGGCUAUUCCUCACAAAGAGUUUAGUCUCCAAACACGAAAUCUAGAGAGACUGAUUCCACAAUCUACCUAGAACUCACAAAAACGAAUCAAGAACACAAGGUUUUUGAAUCAAAGAACAUUCUGGUUUUCUUAUUAAUUCGAGGGUGAACUGAAAGGUAAAACUGAGAAGAGCUUAUAUAGUCUCUUUAGAAUUCGAAAUACAAUAAGAAGCAAUAACUAAGAAGCAAAAAUCAAGAGAUAUGAGUCAAAGAGCUUGAUUGUAGGCGAUUUGAUGGGCAGAGAGAUUCUCUGGACGGCUGAGAUGAUCUGGGGUUGAGGAAUGGUCGUGAUUAAUCUUCAGAAAGUCGUGGUCUUUAAGAGAAAAGAGAUUAACAUUUCCGAAAAAGGAAAGUUCUCUUUUAAGUUUGAAUUCUUCUCCUUUGGUCAGAAAUGUGUCUUGGUUCAUCUUGGGGUGUAUGGGAAGUCUGGUGGGUCUCCUAACACGUGCUUGGUCUUUGUCUUUGGCGAGAAUGAGCUUGUUUCCUUAUUUAGUGGAAUAUUGGACCGUCUAAGGACAUGGCAGUCAAAUGGUGGAUCCGGGUCGAUCCAGCUCCGUUUCUCUUGGUUUUGGAUGCUCCAUUGGGUCUCCUGAUGGGUAAGAAUAUCUUCUGGGCCUGGACGUGCAUUGGUUAUGCUGAGAACACCUUUCUUGGGCCACAUCUUCUUAUCGACUUUGCAUUUGAAUGGCUCGGGUAAUGGUUUAGCCGGGAAGCUUGUAUGAUCUAUUGGAUAGGAGUCUAGAGAGAACAAGUCAAUAACAGUCGUCUCCCCUUCGUUAUUGGCUUGCUCUACAAGGGGAGUUCGUCUCUCCUUUACCCUUGGCUAGACUCACAUGUCCAUUGAUCUCAUGUGGUUCCUCUGGUUCAGCUUCGGUUAGGCCAAAUGCAAUGUCUCUGCGUCUUGAGC
RNAcentral lists this long non-coding RNA (4518 nucleotides) under Eutrema salsugineum. Its description in RNAcentral is "long non-coding RNA (ESAL_LNC002209)". Lineage: Eukaryota; Viridiplantae; Streptophyta; Magnoliopsida; Brassicales; Brassicaceae. The record is from RNAcentral.